GAACGCUGGCGGCAGGCUUAACACAUGCAAGUCGAGCGCGUAGCAAUACGAUCGGCAGACGGGUGAGUAACGCGUGGGAAUCUACCCAUCACUAGGGAAUAACUCAGGGAAACUUGUGCUAAUACCCUAUACGACCGAGAGGUGAAAGAUUUAUCGGUGAUGGAUGAGCCCGCGUUGGAUUAGCUAGUUGGUGGGGUAAAGGCCUACCAAGGCGACGAUCCAUAGCUGGUCUGAGAGGAUGAUCAGCCACACUGGGACUGAGACACGGCCCAGACUCCUACGGGAGGCAGCAGUGGGGAAUAUUGGACAAUGGGCGCAAGCCUGAUCCAGCCAUGCCGCGUGAGUGAUGAAGGCCUAGGGUUGUAAAGCUCUUUCACCGGUGAAGAUAAUGACGGUAACCGGAGAAGAAGCCCCGGCUAACUUCGUGCACAGCGGGG
This 437-nucleotide ribosomal RNA is filed under the name Brucella anthropi. Its description in RNAcentral is "bacterial SSU rRNA". It matches the Rfam family "Bacterial small subunit ribosomal RNA", at positions 31 to 519 of the family's 1533-position model. Lineage: Bacteria; Pseudomonadati; Pseudomonadota; Alphaproteobacteria; Hyphomicrobiales; Brucellaceae. The record is from RNAcentral.